This 28-nucleotide unclassified non-coding RNA is filed under the name Mus musculus (house mouse). RNAcentral's name for it is "oocyte_clustered_small_RNA7230". Lineage: Eukaryota; Metazoa; Chordata; Mammalia; Rodentia; Muridae. The record is from RNAcentral.
UUGUGGUUGGUACAGACUGUGUCAAGGC